This 61-nucleotide ribosomal RNA is filed under the name Cytospora leucosperma. RNAcentral describes it as "Valsa ambiens partial 28S ribosomal RNA". It matches the Rfam family "Eukaryotic large subunit ribosomal RNA", at positions 1 to 60 of the family's 3401-position model. The record is from RNAcentral. Lineage: Eukaryota; Fungi; Ascomycota; Sordariomycetes; Diaporthales; Cytosporaceae. RNAcentral also lists the same sequence under 1 other name.
UUGACCUCGGAUCAGGUAGGAAUACCCGCUGAACUUAAGCAUAUCAAUAAGCGGAGGAAGA